This 88-nucleotide small RNA is filed under the name Propithecus coquereli (Coquerel's sifaka). Its description in RNAcentral is "Y RNA (ENSPCOG00000006822.1)". The record is from RNAcentral. Lineage: Eukaryota; Metazoa; Chordata; Mammalia; Primates; Indriidae.
GGCAAGUCCCACUUAAUGUUUGAACAGUGAAAGUAUUGAUCAAAAACAAGAUCUUUCCAUUCCCACUGCUUCACUUGACCAGCCUUUA